GCGCGCCUGACCAGGCUGACUGGAAACGGUAGCUCUUAACGGUUCCCCGCCCGUCGGUGGCAAGGCGGCUGGACUAGAAUCCCAGCAGACGACAUGCGAGGAGGCGGGCAACCCAGGAGUGUUGGGCAGAGCAGUGUGGACCUCGCCGCUUCCACAGCGAUGCUGGCUACUGAUCGCGGGCACCUCCUUGCCAUAGGAAGUUUGUGCUGUGCACUAACAUGUAAUUCAAAUACUGAUGAAAACAAAACUGGUGCCUUCCUACCAAGUGGGAAAUUAAUGUUAUGA
This 285-nucleotide long non-coding RNA is filed under the name Theropithecus gelada (gelada). RNAcentral's name for it is "lncRNA (ENSTGEG00000000203.1)". The record is from RNAcentral. Lineage: Eukaryota; Metazoa; Chordata; Mammalia; Primates; Cercopithecidae.